Molecule: ribosomal RNA, 301 nt
Filed under: uncultured bacterium
Lineage: Bacteria
Description: partial 16S ribosomal RNA
Rfam family: Bacterial small subunit ribosomal RNA
Source: RNAcentral
CAGCCGCCACGGGAAUACAGAGGGUGCGAGCGUUAAUCGGAUUUACUGGGCGUAAAGCGUGCGUAGGCGGCUUUUUAAGUCGGAUGUGAAAUCCUUGAGCUUAACUUAGGAAUUGCAUUCGAUACUGGGAAGCUAGAGUAUGGGAGAGGAUGGUAGAAUUCCAGGUGUAGCGGUGAAAUGCGUAGAGAUCUGGAGGAAUACCGAUGGCGAAGGCAGCCAUCUGGCCUAAUACUGACGCUGAGGUACGAAAGCAUGGGGAGCAAACAGGAUUAGAGACCCCAGUAGUCCCUGUCUCUUAUAC